GACAUCCCAUUAUAGUUACCACAACAAUGAAACUGUUGGCCAGUAGGCAAAGCAGAGAGGAAGACAGAACUUUAACAGGAGCAGGACAUAUGCUAUGGAACUCCCUCCCGCAAGAGAUAGGAAUGACCACGGACCUCACUACAUACGGAACGAAAUACAAAACUCAUUUCUUUGACUAGCUUUCCUGCAGCAAAUUUCACACACACACACUCGACACUAAGCCUAUUUCUCCUACAGCUGGGAACAACUAAAGAGAUUUUCAUAGUUAUUUCUAUUUUAAGUUCUCAGGAGGUUCUCAGAGACUAAGGGGACAGACAGACAUGAGAGUGAAGAUCUGAAAUGGGCCGAUAAACCCUAACACUGGUCAGGCCGCUUCUGCCUUCUCCUCCAUGCCACCUGGACAGCAGCCGGGGGAACAUGGAGAGAAACAGUUUCCCUGUCCUCAGUUUUCAUACCUGGCACCACAACAGCCCACAGCAAACUGGAGGAGCAACUGCUGUGAAAGUCCUGCUCAGCCUCUGCAGCCCAAGAAUGGAGCAUGCUCAGGCCUCUGUUGGUAU
Chrysemys picta bellii (western painted turtle) is the source of this 560-nucleotide long non-coding RNA. RefSeq lists it as uncharacterized. The record is from RefSeq and is a predicted model, not a curated record. Lineage: Eukaryota; Metazoa; Chordata; Testudines; Emydidae.